UUCAAGUUACAUUCCUAAAGUUAAUGUCAUUCUGCAAAAUUGUCAGAAUAAUAGCACAAUCUUUGGCUUAUCUAACUUUAAAACUAAUUUUGGAAAAAACCCUUUACAUAGAUCAACCG
Gordionus sp. m RMFG-2023 is the source of this 119-nucleotide long non-coding RNA. RefSeq lists it as uncharacterized. The transcript is spliced from 3 exons. The record is from RefSeq and is a predicted model, not a curated record. Lineage: Eukaryota; Metazoa; Nematomorpha; Gordioida; Chordodea; Parachordodidae.